GUCAGUAAUAUUAAAGACAAAAACCAACCAGAAAGGCAGGAAUUAUCUUUAAACAGUUAUGACGAAUUUCUAUGGCGUCCAGUUCACUCCGUGAAGUGACUGUUUUAAAGACAGCUCUUGCCUGGGUGCUGCUCAUCAACUUGUUUCUGGAUCCCUCAUCAGCAGGCAGAAGGCAAUCGCGUUUAAAAUGCAACACAAGCCAUAACAAAAACAUCAUUGCAAAAACCUCAAACAACAACAACAAUAUUACGCGAAGAGGAGCGAGAGGCACAUAGUCGACCAAGGUCUGCAUUAACAUUUAAAAAGGUUCAAAAUAAACAUGGAAGAGGCGGCGGGCUGUCCCUGUCCGAUAAACUGACUUCUGGUCUCGUCCAGAGCUGGCCACAAGUGUGCGUACAUCAUCAACUUUAUGGGUCUGUUAACAAGCCAAACGAACAUGGGUACACAAAAGUCGCAGCUUUAAGAUUGAUCUGAAGUUGGCUGGGAUGCGAAGCUGCCUCUUAUCAUGCAAACAUCAUCAACAAUGCGAAACCAUCGAAAAAAUUGCAGCUGCGAACAACUCAAAAGUGGAAAAGGCAACUUUGCCCAAAAGGGGCAAACCAGGCAGAGCUUUUAAGAGCCAGAA
Drosophila albomicans is the source of this 625-nucleotide long non-coding RNA. RefSeq lists it as uncharacterized. The record is from RefSeq and is a predicted model, not a curated record. The transcript has 3 exons. NCBI's taxonomy places the organism in Eukaryota, Metazoa, Arthropoda, Insecta, Diptera, Drosophilidae.